Molecule: transfer RNA, 66 nt
Filed under: Curculionoidea sp. 30 KM-2017
Lineage: Eukaryota; Metazoa; Arthropoda; Insecta; Coleoptera
Description: tRNA-Ala
Source: RNAcentral
AGGAUAAUAGUUUAACUAAAACAUUUUAAUUGCAAUAAAAAAAUAUUGAUAUUCCAAUUUAUCUUA